Molecule: non-coding RNA, 73 nt
Organism: Podarcis lilfordi (Lilford's wall lizard)
Lineage: Eukaryota; Metazoa; Chordata; Lepidosauria; Squamata; Lacertidae
Source: the annotation of a GenBank genome assembly
GUCCUCUUGUCUCAGUGGGUAGAGAACGAGGCUCUUAAUCUCAGGGUUGUGGGUUCGAGCCCCAUGUUGGGCA